GGGGACGGGAGGGGCGGCCCAGCCCUCGGACUUCCAGUAACAGGUCCUGUAUGAGCCCCGAUUUCCAGAAAGGGAAAAUCUGAGGCUCAGGGAUGUGAAGUCACAAGUUGGCCAGUGAUGGCCCCUUUUUCUGCAGCAAUGAGCCUGUCCAUUCCAUCCCUACCUUUGGUUUCCAGUCCCCAAACCAAUUCCCAGGGGAAAACUCUGGCCGAGAACGGUGAGAAUGUGGCCAGCUGAAAUUCAAACCUAGGUGGAGAAGUAAUAAUCGAUGGUCAAGUGUGUUGAGCGCUGACUAUGCACUGGGCACAGAGCUAAACCCUUCCUUGCAGGGGUUCUCAGCGGCCUCAAGGGCACGUUUUCAACUGCAGGUGAUGAUGAACUAUGGAAUUUGUGAAAUCGGUUUAAGGGAUCCUCAAAUCAAUCGACUGACCUCUGACCCUGAAACAGUGGAAGAGUCUAGAAUAGAAAAUACAAAGUAGAUCCCAUCUAUUAAGGGGGUCUCUUGUUCUGCGCAAUUUUUACUCCUAUGUGUGUACGUGUGCUGGGUUUAACAUAAAGUAUAUAAUAGCAAUGAUAUUAAUUAAUCAGUACUUACUGAGUUCUUAUAACCUACCAGGCUUAGUGCUAAGAGCUUAACAUGUAUAAUUCAUAUAUAACAAAUCAAUCAAUGAAAUAUCUUUCUCCUGUUUGGAGUUUUAAAAAGAAUUUUGGGGUAUAUUUGGGUACCUUUGAUUAUUUUAUUUUUUAAAAAUCAUCCCCAGGACG
Long non-coding RNA from Canis lupus familiaris (dog), 765 nucleotides. RefSeq lists it as uncharacterized. The record is from RefSeq and is a predicted model, not a curated record. The transcript has 3 exons. NCBI's taxonomy places the organism in Eukaryota, Metazoa, Chordata, Mammalia, Carnivora, Canidae.